UGACCAGGCAAAACGAUCGCUGGGUUUUAAGCCUGGAGGAAAGUCCGAACACCAUAGGACAGGACGCUCCAUAACAUGGAGUCACGGUGACGUGAAGGAAAGUGCAACAGAGAGUAGACCGCCUGUAUCGGUUACAGAUACGGGUAAGGGUGAAACGGUGCGGUAAGAGCGCACCAGUUUUCCAGGUGACUGGAAAAG
RNAcentral lists this non-coding RNA (198 nucleotides) under Desulfobacterales bacterium RIFOXYA12_FULL_46_15. RNAcentral describes it as "partial RNase P RNA component class A". It matches the Rfam family "Bacterial RNase P class A", at positions 1 to 201 of the family's 367-position model. Rfam says of the family: Ribonuclease P (RNase P) is a ubiquitous endoribonuclease, found in archaea, bacteria and eukarya as well as chloroplasts and mitochondria. Its best characterised activity is the generation of mature 5'-ends of tRNAs by cleaving the 5'-leader elements of precursor-tRNAs. Cellular RNase Ps are ribonucleoproteins. The record is from RNAcentral. Lineage: Bacteria; Pseudomonadati; Thermodesulfobacteriota; Desulfobacteria; Desulfobacterales.